Long non-coding RNA from Oryza sativa Japonica Group (Japanese rice), 1038 nucleotides. RefSeq lists it as uncharacterized. Lineage: Eukaryota; Viridiplantae; Streptophyta; Magnoliopsida; Poales; Poaceae. The record is from RefSeq and is a predicted model, not a curated record.
UUCGAGAGGCUUGAAAUUGAAGCAGUAGCUGCCGCCUGCCGAGAGUUGCAGCUUGGCAUGCAGAGCCUUCAGCUCUCUUCAGAAGUGUGAGCUCUGAAUCUCUGAUGAUGGCGUUGGAACAACAAGAAGGUUUUCAGGUUAUAUACAUGAUCGAUGGGCAGUGCGACUGAUGAGGUAGGAGAUGGGAUUAACGCUGCCUGGCUCCCUGAAUGCCAUCCGAGAAGCGUGCCGCUGUGGCCGGCUGCUUCCUGGUUGGCAUUGAGGGAGUCAUGCAGGGUUUGCUCAUUUCCAUCUACGACGACGAUGUUUAUAGCAAGCACGGCUUCCUAGCUCAGAAUCAGAUCUGGCACUUUCUGCAUCAGCUUAGCAUGUCAUUGUUCAUGCACUCAAAAUCCAUCGUAGCGUUCAUGCAAACAUAAAUCGAACAGAUGGCAGAAGAUAGAAUUCAGGAAGUCUUAUUAUGAGUUUUGAAUGAUUCAUUGAGGGCGUUUCAUAUAUCCAUGGUUUUCGAGACUUAAGCGGUUAAAAGAGAACUAAUGAUAAAUUUGAAGUCAACACAGAAAAAAUGCCAUUUUACUUCACAUGUUAGAUUCUUCAAAGAGAGUAGAUGACCUCCUCAUGUAGUUAACCACUGCCUAACCAUCGGCGGCAGUAAAGCUAUGUCACAUUGAAGGCGACAUGUCGCUCAAACUUAGCAUAGAUGAGAGAUGACGUACCCUUGAACAUUCAUUUGACAAACGAUAAGAUUGAAAACAAGGAUACUAACUAAAGAAUAGAACUAUUUGAUAGGAACACUAAUGCUAUCCAAAAUGAUAGGAACAUUCAUUUCACAAAUGCUAUCCAAAAUGACCAGUACUAGUUUGAAUACCAUGAGUAUUCUAUAACACUGAUAAACUGUAUUUACAGCUAGUGCUCCCUCUUGCAAAAUCUUAAAUCAUAAGGAACAAAAAGUGUAAGUGUAUGCUAAAAAGUGCCAAUUGCGUAUAGAUUCUCAACUUCAGUAGAGCCUAAUUCUUGUGGAGAUUUCCCUCUGGCAAA